This is a non-coding RNA of Arvicola amphibius (Eurasian water vole), 2183 nucleotides long. The record is from the annotation of a RefSeq genome assembly. Lineage: Eukaryota; Metazoa; Chordata; Mammalia; Rodentia; Cricetidae.
UAUAGGAUUAUAGUUUUUCCUAGGCUUGCGACCUAUCUAGUCUCAGGUGUUUGGCAUCCUUAGCAGUAUCAGAUAUGGGUUGCAUUUCAUGGAGUGGGCCUUAAAUCCAAUUUUAAAAAAUGCUUGAUUAAUCAGUAAAAUGUUCUACAACUUCACCAUUAUAUCUUACAAGCAGGUUACUAUUGUAGGUAGCAGAAUUUCUCUUCUAGUAUCAUACAGAGUAACUUCUAGCACCAUAAAUACUAGUCAGAAGGGGUAAAGUUUCUAGUUGGGCUCAGUUUCUCCAUGUUUAAUGAUACAACUAAAUAGCAUUUAAUGACACAAGUAAGUGGUGUCUUCAGCUAUAGGGCCUUAGCAUCAGGUUAUGUAGAGUAAGCAAUAGCUUUGGGAAUAUCCUGUGAUGUUUGAGCUUUGGUCAAAGACUCAAUAAGGUAUAACUCAUUCCUGGCACUAGAUGUUUUGCUUGGCGGCAUAAAACUUCUUGUUGGGGCAUUCUCUCUCCCAUUUUAUGGUAAUUCUAUUUAAAUUCCUUUCAUAUAAGUAUAUAUUUUAGGAAGCUUCUACAGUUGUAGAUUUCCAUGUGAUUUUUCAGAUAGUGUUAGUUGUCCAUAUUCAUAUUCUGAUUUUCCAUCCUCCUCCCCACUUAAUCCUAUUCUAGUUUCUUCUUUAUCCCUUGACAGCAUUAUAUUCUAUUUCUCCUUCCUUGGAAGAUCCCCUCUUUUCCUGGCCCCUUACUAGGUAGUUAUCCUCUGAGUUCAUUCAGAUUGAAGCACCUAAACUCAACACACUAGGAAUAAUUUGGAGGUUACAGCUACAGCUACAUGCUCAACUCCAAAACUAGGAGUGGUUCUCAUGUGAGGCUGGGAUGCUUCCUAAAAGUACACAGCAAUUAGGAGAUCCCUGAGAACUUCAAAGGGAGAAAGGGAUCCACAACUUCAGCUAGCAGAUCUACUUGGUCGAUUGCAAUUACACAUGAAGGAUAUUUCCGUUGCAUAAGGGAUUACGUACAGCUACAAUGAAAAGUAGAAAGCUACCUCCUGACAUCUAUUCCACUGAGCUCUAAGGAAAGCAGAGCAUAUUAUAGUCAGCUAAAUGAACAGUGGGUUGCACUAAAUUGCCAGAGAACAAAGUCACAAAGGAUGGGGAAGGGAAGCAUGUUAGGAAUGACAAGAAACCUUCAUCUGUAAAAUGACCAUAGAAGCAAUUUGUUUCCUCACCCUAACAUCCAUCCACCCAGAUGCAUGGAUAUUUCACCACACCACGAGAAAACAGACAAAAGCUUUGAUGCAGACAUUUCCCCCAAGCCUACCAUUUUCCUUCCUUCUGUUGCUGAAACGAAUCUCCACAAGGCUGGGACAUACCUUUGUCUCCUUGAGAAAUUCUUCCCUGAUGUUAUAAGGGUAUACUGGAAAGAAAAGGAUGGCGAUAAGAUCCUGGAAUCCCAGGAAGGGAAUACACUGAAAACCAAUGAUACAUACAUGAAGUUUAGCUGGCUUACCGUGACUGAAGAGUCAAUGCGUAAAGAGCACAUAUGCAUUGUCAAACAUGAGAACAAUAAAAGAGGAGUUGAUCAAGAGAUUUCCUUUCCUCCAAUAGAGAAAGUUGCCAUGAGUGCUGAGCCUACACCUUGCUGGCACGAAAAUGCCGUGCUGCAGCUUCAGCUCACGAGCACCUCUGCCUACUACACCUACCUUCUCCUCCUCCUCAAGAGUGCGAUCCACCUGGCCGUGGUCAGCUUCUCUCUGGCUAGAAGAACAGCAACCUGUGGCAAUGAGAAGAGGGCCUAAGGAAGUGAACAGUGGCUCAACAAGUCAGCUCCUGUACAUCCUUUAUGUGAAAUCGUGCUUUAUGGGCCCAGCUGGAUUUUCUUGCUAACUUUGACCUGUGUAAAAAUCACAUGCAUAUCAUUCUGUCAUCACUUAAAAGUUUUCAGACUUUCAUAAGCGAUUCGAGCAACUUCUCUCACUAACCCUUCUGAUUCUAUCCUCUUCAGCAGUUCCCUCCCCCAGGAGCCUGGAGCACCCCAGCUCCAGUACACAUAGCUUGCAGCUUCUACCGCAGUCCUUGUUGCCCUUGAGCCAGCUAACUCCCUGAAAGCCUCCACACUAGACACCCUGAAGAGCCUUCUUUACUGCCUGAAUUCUUGUACUUCAUAUUAGAGACAAUAAAUUCUUUGAAAAUCA